UGCGUAGGUGGUGGGGUAAGUCGGAUGUGAAAUCUCGGAGCUCAACUCCGAAAUGGCAUUGGAAACUACCCCGCUGGAGGUUUGGAGGGGGGACUGGAAUACUUGGUGUAGCAGUGAAAUGCGUAGAUAUCAAGUGGAACACCAGUGGCGAAGGCGAGUCCCUGGACAAAACCUGACACUGAGGCACGAAAGCUAGGGGAGCAAACA
This 207-nucleotide ribosomal RNA is filed under the name uncultured bacterium. RNAcentral describes it as "partial 16S ribosomal RNA". It matches the Rfam family "Bacterial small subunit ribosomal RNA", at positions 568 to 774 of the family's 1533-position model. The record is from RNAcentral.